This 254-nucleotide ribosomal RNA is filed under the name uncultured bacterium. RNAcentral describes it as "partial 16S ribosomal RNA". It matches the Rfam family "Bacterial small subunit ribosomal RNA", at positions 524 to 776 of the family's 1533-position model. The record is from RNAcentral.
UACGAAGGGGGCUAGCGUUGCUCGGAAUCACUGGGCGUAAAGCGCACGUAGGCGGAUUCUUAAGUCAGGGGUGAAAUCCUGGAGCUCAACUCCAGAACUGCCUUUGAUACUGGGAGUCUUGAGUUCGGGAGAGGUGAGUGGAACUGCGAGUGUAGAGGUGAAAUUCGUAGAUAUUUCGCAAGAACACCAGUGGCGAAGGCGGCUCACUGGCCCGAUACUGACGCUGAGGUGCGAAAGCGUGGGGAGCAAACAGG